GAUGAACGCUGGCGGCGUGCUUAACACAUGCAAGUCGAACGAAGCACUUUAUUUGAUUUCCUUCGGGACUGAUUAUUUUGUGACUGAGUGGCGGACGGGUGAGUAACGCGUGGGUAACCUGCCUUGUACAGGGGGAUAACAGUUGGAAACGGCUGCUAAUACCGCAUAAGCGCACGGCAUCGCAUGAUGCAGUGUGAAAAACUCCGGUGGUAUAAGAUGGACCCGCGUUGGAUUAGCUAGUUGGUGAGGUAACGGCCCACCAAGGCGACGAUCCAUAGCCGACCUGAGAGGGUGACCGGCCACAUUGGGACUGAGACGCGGCCCAAACUCCUACGGGAGGCAGCAGUGGGGAAUAUUGCACAAUGGGCGAAAGCCUGAUGCAGCGACGCCGCGUGAGCGAAGAAGUAUUUCGGUAUGUAAAGCUCUAUCAGCAGGGAAGAUAAGGACGGUACCUGACUAAGAAGCACCGGCUAAAUACGU
RNAcentral lists this ribosomal RNA (480 nucleotides) under uncultured bacterium. RNAcentral's name for it is "partial 16S ribosomal RNA". It matches the Rfam family "Bacterial small subunit ribosomal RNA", at positions 28 to 506 of the family's 1533-position model. The record is from RNAcentral.